UACGAAGGGGGCUAGCGUUGUUCGGAAUUACUGGGCGUAAAGCGUGCGCAGGCGGCCUUCCAAGUCAGGGGUGAAAGCCCAGAGCUCAACUCUGGAAUUGCCUUUGAGACUGUGAGGCUUGAGUACGGGAGAGGUGAGUGGAAUUCCCAGUGUAGAGGUGAAAUUCGUAGAUAUUGGGAAGAACACCGGUGGCGAAGGCGGCUCACUGGCCCGAAACUGACGCCCAUGCACGACAGCGUGGGGAUCAAACAGG
RNAcentral lists this ribosomal RNA (253 nucleotides) under uncultured bacterium. RNAcentral describes it as "partial 16S ribosomal RNA". It matches the Rfam family "Bacterial small subunit ribosomal RNA", at positions 524 to 776 of the family's 1533-position model. The record is from RNAcentral.